GGGAAGCUGAUGAUUUCACCCACUAGUAUAGCAUUACAACUUUACAGCUUCCCAAUCCAUGCACUUUUUUGAAACUUGUAAGGAUAUGGGUUUUCACAGAAAAUAUAUAAAUAACGGAAUCUACUGAUGACAGGCAUCACUGAUGCCAAGAGAUAGGAGGUUUCAUAAAAAGGUUCCAAAUUUUUGUGAAUAACAAGAUACCUGUAACUGUUAUGGCUUAUGCACAUAUUUAUUUUAGCCUUGAGACAUAAAUUUCCAGCUUUAUCUAGAGUAUGUUAGCACCUAACAAUUAACUUUUACUAGGAACAUUUUUUUUCCUUUCCUUAAUACAGCAUUUCUGCCUCUAAAGUAUUGGUCCCUGCUGGAGACAGGAUAAGAAAAGCCCACCAGCUGCUGCCUUGAAAGGAAAAGGAUCUGGACAAAUGGAUACAAUUCUUCCCCUGAUACUCGCCCAACUAUGAGCUGGUUUCAGCUCAAAGUGUUUCUGAGCUGGGUAUAGUUUCCAUGGGUUUAAGAACCCCCAGUGGACUCCUCUCCCAAGAACUUCUCCAGCCUCCCCUUGAAGACACAUAAACUUGUAACCUCCACAACACCUUUUGGCAAGGAGUUGCACAGGUCUGGCACCUGUCCCAUGAAGAACCACCUCUCUUUUAAUCCCCAUCUACCUUCUUCAUAUUGUUGGUUAUUUAUCAUAUUCUACUCCUCUCCCCCAGUCUGAGUUUUGACUAGAUGGGGUACUUCUUUUAAAAUUCUUGAUAGGAAAAGUACAAAUCAAAUCAUAUUAGUUUGGAACUGCUUAAGUGGGCAAAAAGAGGGAAGCAUUUCCUUUAUCAAAGUUAGACAUGCUCCCAGGCACUGGGGACUACUGGGGUGCCACUUACUCAUCUCCCAGCAGAGAGCACUUUCUAAAGGCAACAUAAGCUCGUGGAUUUCUGUCCACUCGCACUUAAAUAGCUCCCUCUGAUGGACAUAGCUCACAAUUGGCCUUGACCAGGCAAAAGGGGCUAGGUUUGGAUACUGGGAGACACUGGCUAGAAGCUG
This is a long non-coding RNA of Harpia harpyja (harpy eagle), 1041 nucleotides long. RefSeq lists it as uncharacterized. The transcript has 3 exons. The record is from RefSeq and is a predicted model, not a curated record. Lineage: Eukaryota; Metazoa; Chordata; Aves; Accipitriformes; Accipitridae.